Molecule: ribosomal RNA, 434 nt
Filed under: uncultured bacterium
Lineage: Bacteria
Description: partial 16S ribosomal RNA
Rfam family: Bacterial small subunit ribosomal RNA
Source: RNAcentral
AGCGAACGCUGGCGGCAGGCCUAACACAUGCAAGUCGAACGAACCUUUCGGGGUUAGUGGCGGACGGGUGAGUAACACGUGGGAACGUGCCUUUAGGUUCGGAAUAACUCAGGGAAACUUGUGCUAAUACCGAAUGUGCCCUUCGGGGGAAAGAUUAAUCGCCUUUAGAGCGGCCCGCGUCUGAUUAGCUAGUUGGUUGAGGUAAUGGCUCACCAAGGCGACGAUCAGUAGCUGGUCUGAGAGGAUGAUCAGCCACAUUGGGAUUGAGACACGGCCCAAACUCCUACGGGAGGCAGCAGUGGGGAAUCUUGCGCAAUGGGCGAAAGCCUGACGCAGCCAUGCCGCGUGAAUGAUGAAGGUCUUAGGAUUGUAAAAUUCUUUCACCGGGGACGAUAAUGACGGUACCCGGAGAAGAAGCCCCGGCUAACUUCGUG